RNAcentral lists this ribosomal RNA (373 nucleotides) under uncultured organism. RNAcentral describes it as "partial 16S ribosomal RNA". It matches the Rfam family "Bacterial small subunit ribosomal RNA", at positions 527 to 896 of the family's 1533-position model. The record is from RNAcentral.
GUAGGUGGCAAGCGUUGUCCGGAAUUAUUGGGCGUAAAGCGCGCGCAGGCGGUUCUUUAAGUCUGAUGUGAAAGCCCACGGGCUCAACCGUGGAGGGUCAUUGGAAACUGGAGAACUUGAGUACAGAAGAGGAAAGCGGAAUUCCACGUGUAGCGGUGAAAUGCGUAGAGAUGUGGAGGAACACCAGUGGCGAAGGCGGCUUUCUGGUCUGUAACUGACGCUGAGGCGCGAAAGCGUGGGGAGCAAACAGGAUUAGAUACCCUGGUAGUCCACGCCGUAAACGAUGAGUGCUAAGUGUUAGGGGGUUUCCGCCCCUUAGUGCUGCAGCCAACGCAUUAAGCACUCCGCCUGGGGAGUACGGCCGCAAAGGCUG